Molecule: ribosomal RNA, 489 nt
Filed under: uncultured bacterium
Lineage: Bacteria
Description: partial 16S ribosomal RNA
Rfam family: Bacterial small subunit ribosomal RNA
Source: RNAcentral
UUGAACGCUGGCGGCAGGCCUAACACAUGCAGGUCGAACGGUAACAGGAAGCAGCUUGCUGCUUCGCUGACGAGUGGCGGACGGGUGAGUAAUGUCUGGGAAGCUGCCUGAUGGAGGGGGAUAACUACUGGAAACGGUAGCUAAUACCGCAUAAUGUCGCAAGACCAAAGAGGGGGACCUUCGGGCCUCUUGCCAUCGGAUGUGCCCAGGUGGGAUUAGCUUGUUGGUGGGGUAACGGCUCACCAAGGCGACGAUCCCUAGCUGGUCUGAGAGGAUGACCAGCCACACUGGAACUGAGACACGGUCCAGACUCCUACGGGAGGCAGCAGUGGGGAAUAUUGCACAAUGGGCGCAAGCCUGAUGCAGCCAUGCCGCGUGUAUGAAGAAGGCCUUCGGGUUGUAAAGUACUUUCAGCGGGGAGGAAGGGAGUAAAGUUAAUACCUUUGCUCAUUGACGUUACCCGCAGAAGAAGCACCGGCUAACUCCGUG